Non-coding RNA from Acanthosepion pharaonis, 114 nucleotides. The record is from the annotation of a GenBank genome assembly. NCBI's taxonomy places the organism in Eukaryota, Metazoa, Mollusca, Cephalopoda, Sepiida, Sepiidae.
UUACGGCUACAUCACGUUGAAAAACCGGUUCACGUCCGAUAAUCGAAGUUAAGCAAUGCUGAUCCUGGUCAAUACCUAGAUGGAUGACCGCUUGGGAAUAUCAGGUGCUGUAAG